GAUGAACGCUGGCGGCGUGCCUAAUACAUGCAAGUCGAGCGAACAGACGAGGAGCUUGCUCCUCUGACGUUAGCGGCGGACGGGUGAGUAACACGUGGAUAACCUACCUAUAAGACUGGGAUAACUUCGGGAAACCGGAGCUAAUACCGGAUAAUAUAUUGAACCGCAUGGUUCAAUAGUGAAAGACGGUUUUGCUGUCACUUAUAGAUGGAUCCGCGCCGCAUUAGCUAGUUGGUAAGGUAACGGCUUACCAAGGCAACGAUGCGUAGCCGACCUGAGAGGGUGAUCGGCCACACUGGAACUGAGACACGGUCCAGACUCCUACGGGAGGCAGCAGUAGGGAAUCUUCCGCAAUGGGCGAAAGCUUGACGGAGCAACGCCGCGUGAGUGAUGAAGGUCUUCGAAUCGUAAAACUCUGUUAUUAGGGAAGAACAAAUGUGUAAGCAACUAUGCACGUCUUGACGGUACCUAAUCAGAAAGCCACGGCUAACUACGUG
Molecule: ribosomal RNA, 497 nt
Filed under: uncultured bacterium
Lineage: Bacteria
Description: partial 16S ribosomal RNA
Rfam family: Bacterial small subunit ribosomal RNA
Source: RNAcentral